RNAcentral lists this ribosomal RNA (254 nucleotides) under uncultured bacterium. RNAcentral's name for it is "partial 16S ribosomal RNA". It matches the Rfam family "Bacterial small subunit ribosomal RNA", at positions 524 to 776 of the family's 1533-position model. The record is from RNAcentral.
UACGAGGGGUGCAAGCGUUGCUCGGAAUUAUUGGGCGUAAAGAGCUUGUAGGCGGUUUGUCGCGUCUGCCGUGAAAAUUCGAGGCUCAACCUCGAACUUGCGGUGGGUACGGGGCAGACUAGAGUGUGGUAGGGGAGACUGGAAUUCCUGGUGUAGCGGUGAAAUGCGCAGAUAUCAGGAGGAACACCGAUGGCGAAGGCAGGUCUCUGGGCCACUACUGACGCUGAGAAGCGAAAGCAUGGGGAGCGAACAGG